UCCGGUGGCGAUACGCCCAGGGGUCACACCCGUACCCAUCCCGAACACGAUGGUUAAGACCUGGGAGGCCGAUGAUACUAUGCUGGAGACGGCAUGGGAAAGCAGGUGGCUGCCGGGA
Molecule: ribosomal RNA, 118 nt
Organism: Blautia sp.
Lineage: Bacteria; Bacillati; Bacillota; Clostridia; Lachnospirales; Lachnospiraceae
Source: Rfam